CAAGUCGAGGGGCAGCAUAAUGGUAGCAAUACUAUUGAUGGCGACCGGCGGACGGGUGCGUAACGCGUAUGCAACCUUCCCGCAACUGGGGAAUAACCUUGCGAAAGUAAGACUAAUACCCCAUGGUCUCCACGGAUGGCAUCUGAAAUGGAGUAAAGGUUUCGGCCGGUUGCGGAUGGGGAUGCGUCCGAUUAGCUUGUUGGCGGGGUAACGGCCCACCAAGGCAACGAUCAGUAGGGGUUCUGAGAGGAAGGUCCCCACAUUGGAACUGAGACACGGUCCAAACUCC
RNAcentral lists this ribosomal RNA (289 nucleotides) under uncultured Bacteroidota bacterium. Its description in RNAcentral is "uncultured Bacteroidetes bacterium partial 16S ribosomal RNA". It matches the Rfam family "Bacterial small subunit ribosomal RNA", at positions 58 to 339 of the family's 1533-position model. Lineage: Bacteria; Pseudomonadati; Bacteroidota. The record is from RNAcentral.